Non-coding RNA from Caranx melampygus (bluefin trevally), 73 nucleotides. Lineage: Eukaryota; Metazoa; Chordata; Actinopteri; Carangiformes; Carangidae. The record is from the annotation of a GenBank genome assembly.
GCAUGGUGGUACAGUGGUUAGCACUGUUGCCUCUCAGACUGAAGGUUCUGGGUUUGAUCCCCAGGAUAGUGCC